The sequence is a transfer RNA, 85 nucleotides long. It matches the Rfam family "tRNA". From Rfam's summary of the family: Transfer RNA (tRNA) molecules are approximately 80 nucleotides in length. Their secondary structure includes four short double-helical elements and three loops (D, anti-codon, and T loops).
CCCGGGUUCGCCUAAUGGUAGGGCAGCUGACUGUAACUCAGUGGCGCACCGCGCAUUGGGGGUUCGAAUCCCUCACCCGGGACCA